Molecule: long non-coding RNA, 637 nt
Filed under: Rattus norvegicus (Norway rat)
Lineage: Eukaryota; Metazoa; Chordata; Mammalia; Rodentia; Muridae
Description: long non-coding RNA NONRATT018466
Source: RNAcentral
AGUAAGAACUCAGAGCUGCACAAAACAGGCAAGAACUGCAUGCUCAUUAUGUCUGUCAGAGACACAGUCCACCCCCAUCUGCACCCAAAGAGUUCUUUUCAGAGAACUCCAUUCAGAUCCAGCUGCCAGCCUGUGGUCAGCUGCAGAGUUACUGAAGCUGCUUAAUUGGAAAGCCUAAUUGUGCUACCCGUUAAGCUUCAUGUUCAGAGUUACCGGGGACUUCAAUUCACAGUAAACACUGAAUGUUCGAGGAUGGCCCAGAAACUGUGGGGAACAACUUUUAAAUGUGCAUUUUUCAUAAAAGGGGUCUGAACAGUAUGAUGUUAUUUUGUAUACUGGAAUGCAAUCAUAUUCUUUACUGAGUGCAAAACUAAACCACAUAUGCUCUAGUCAGGCCAGAAAGAGGUUCAAAAAACGGUGCUUGAAAAACAGUAAAAAAAUGUUACCUCCCUCAGAGAAAAGGUGUUGAAACAAACCAGGUUGGUGUUUGUUUUUGUUAAUAUUUAAUCAUUUCUAACACACACUUCACUUGUAAUAAAAAUACUGUUCUUCAGGUUGAAAGAUGAACUUUCUGGGCAUUUUCUAUUAACUGGAAAAGGGAAGCAAAACAACAAAAAAUAAAAUUUAAAAAUUCCUU